AUUAAUCAUCCAUAAUUCAUCAAGCAAAAUGUUCCUAGAAAAUAAUUUGCACUAAUGUAAAUGUAAUGUUAUCAAUAACAGAACCGGAAAAGAUCAGAUCUCUACAUUCGACAGUGCUCGGUUUGGGAACGGCUUUGGGUUUGUGCGCACUUCUGAUUUUCUGUCUCAUUUAUUUCAUACUCAGGAGAAGAAAAUGUGAUAAAAUGAAAGCUUGUAUAGAAGAUUCUCCAGGAAUGAAGCAGGGAUCUGAAGCUGAAACACUGAAUUACGCAGCUGUGCAAUUUACCAAGAGGAAAGCCAAAGCUGAAAAAAAGAAAACUGGCUCAGCAGAACAGUGUGCGUACGCUGAUGUGAAAAAAACUGUAAGAUGUAACAGAAAUAAUUCAUAACACAUGAUAGGCAAAUGUAAUCCAUAUUUUUCAUUACCAUGAUAUGAUAUAUGAUGCGCCAAGAAAAAAAACAAACAAAAAAAAAAACACAAAACAUAACAGAAAAACCUAGAAAUAAUUUUAUAUUUUUACACUAAUCUCAUAAUAAUAAUUAUAUUAAAGUUGCCUGUCUUUAAGAUAUUGUUUUAUUUGCAGUGUGGAUAAACUUCUAUGCUACAGGUUUUAUUUCUGUGCACACGUGUGAAGUAACUACGGAUGUAUUAACUUCAGUAACGCUGAACUUGUAAAA
This is a long non-coding RNA of Ictalurus punctatus (channel catfish), 678 nucleotides long. RefSeq lists it as uncharacterized. Lineage: Eukaryota; Metazoa; Chordata; Actinopteri; Siluriformes; Ictaluridae. The record is from RefSeq and is a predicted model, not a curated record. The transcript has 3 exons.